GGCCCAGGAUUCUAUCAAUCUUCAUUAAAUAUUUAUAAAACUUCUUAUUUGAGUUAAUUUCUUUAAAAUCUGUGAAAUAAAGCAAAUUUGGUUAAAUUCUGAAUGUUCCCCUUUUUCACCCUAUAUAGGUUGCAUUUCUGUAAAUAUUGACAAUGCAAUUUCCCAUAGGAACUCCUUUUACGGCUAAAACUGUACCACUUUUACUAUGAAGUUUUGAAAAAAAUCUUAUCCUAGAAUUGAAAGUUCAUAUGCACCACAAUUUUUUUCAAAGGUCAAAAUAUAGGGCUGUGCGGUAUAUUUUCAACGUUUAUAUGCCCUGAACUUCUCAGAGUUUAAACUUUCACUAAUUUUCUUAACUACCCCUACCUUGAAUGAAAGGUUACCACAGAUUUCAAUGUAAACAAUAUGCACGUGUUUAUUUACUGGUAACAUUCCCAAG
RNAcentral lists this long non-coding RNA (439 nucleotides) under Mytilus galloprovincialis (Mediterranean mussel). Lineage: Eukaryota; Metazoa; Mollusca; Bivalvia; Mytilida; Mytilidae. The record is from RNAcentral.